Molecule: ribosomal RNA, 758 nt
Filed under: uncultured bacterium
Lineage: Bacteria
Description: bacterial SSU rRNA
Rfam family: Bacterial small subunit ribosomal RNA
Source: RNAcentral
GAUGAACGCUAGCUACAGGCUUAACACAUGCAAGUCGAGGGGCAUCAGGAAGAAAGCUUGCUUUCUUUGCUGGCGACCGGCGCACGGGUGAGUAACACGUAUCCAACCUGCCGAUAACUCGGGGAUAGCCUUUCGAAAGAAAGAUUAAUACCCGAUAGUAUAAUUAGACCGCAUGGUCUUGUUAUUAAAGAAUUUCGGUUAUCGAUGGGGAUGCGUUCCAUUAGGCAGUUGGUGAGGUAACGGCUCACCAAACCUUCGAUGGAUAGGGGUUCUGAGAGGAAGGUCCCCCACAUUGGAACUGAGACACGGUCCAAACUCCUACGGGAGGCAGCAGUGAGGAAUAUUGGUCAAUGGGCGAGAGCCUGAACCAGCCAAGUAGCGUGAAGGAUGACUGCCCUAUGGGUUGUAAACUUCUUUUAUAAAGGAAUAAAGUCGGGUAUGCAUACCCGUUUGCAUGUACUUUAUGAAUAAGGAUCGGCUAACUCCGUGCCAGCAGCCGCGGUAAUACGGAGGAUCCGAGCGUUAUCCGGAUUUAUUGGGUUUAAAGGGAGCGUAGGUGGACUGGUAAGUCAGUUGUGAAAGUUUGCGGCUCAACCGUAAAAUUGCAGUUGAUACUGUCAGUCUUGAGUACAGUAGAGGUGGGCGGAAUUCGUGGUGUAGCGGUGAAAUGCUUAGAUAUCACGAAGAACUCCGAUUGCGAAGGCAGCUCACUGGACUGCAACUGACACUGAUGCUCGAAAGUGUGGGUAUCAAACAGG